Molecule: long non-coding RNA, 470 nt
Organism: Folsomia candida
Lineage: Eukaryota; Metazoa; Arthropoda; Collembola; Entomobryomorpha; Isotomidae
Exons: 2
Source: RefSeq, a predicted model, not a curated record
AUCCGGCUGAAACAUGAAAUAAACUCUCUUAUACGAUUCAAGAUUUAUAUAAGAAUACAAAGAUUAGGAAAACAAAACCUACCACAGAUUCAUUUACAACUUUCCGAAUUUUAACUGCGAGGACAAAUACGACUACAGACAGUAGAAAGAGGAAUAUGUAAUACAGCCUGGAGUAGAAAAUAAAGGAUCAUUGUAGGAGCUACAUCAUAUUUUACAAGCCCAUUCCGGUUAUACGUUACACCUGAAAUUUGUAUAUGUAGAUGAGGUUUCUUUAAAAAAUAAACAUGAGACGGGAUGAACGAUUUACAUACGUCGACGUUCACCGGACGGAAACCAGCCAUCCAUUUAGAAAUAGACGUUCGACUAUAUUAUUGAUGCAUAUCUACGAUUACCUAAUCUAAUUUAGUGAUAUUUUAAUGUGUAAUAUUUUCUGCAUUGACUAAAUAAAUAAAUAAAUUCAUGCUUGUGUA